AAUAAGUGCAGUUUUGCAUUAUUCACGUUCAACGUUUGACCGUUCGUUUUAUUUGAAAAUUUUUUAUGAUUAGUAUUUUUAUUGCUACUGGAUGAUAAAAUAUGAAUAGUAUUUUAUGUGUGACUAAAUAUUUUUAAUUUUUUCACAAAUUUUUCAAAUAAGACGAAUGGUCAAACGUUGAGCACGGAUAUGUACAGCUGCACUUAUU
MicroRNA precursor from Oryza sativa Indica Group (long-grained rice), 208 nucleotides. It matches the Rfam family "MIR812 microRNA precursor family". Lineage: Eukaryota; Viridiplantae; Streptophyta; Magnoliopsida; Poales; Poaceae. The record is from Rfam.